CCGGGAUGCAGCGCCUGAGAAAUGCGUUCCGGGAACGAACGUUCCUGCUCAUUCGCAUACUCCAUCUGCUCGCAAGUCUUGAGAGGGACUGGCAGAGAGUGGCCUUUAGGUGCCUGACAUCUGUUACCAGAUCUCUGGAUCCAUUGUCCUGAUGGAACAAGUACUUGAGAUCAAAGAGAGGAAGAGGCAGAGAAUCAACGUGAAUCAAAAUGUCUAACAUUGGGAUUUACACCACAGACCCUAGGACUUCUAUGCUUAAAUGUCUACACCCAAAGCAUAGUCCUAAACAUGGCCAGAAUGGAGACAGAUUCUGUGACCCCUGGGCCUUGGAAAUCAUCAAGAGUCUGGAUUUGGGUUUGGAGUGCUCAGUUGUUAGCAUAACCCCCAGGAUUAUGCCUAAACAAGACAUGUUAAUCACAGUAUUUAGAAUGUGGAAGCAAAAGGAUUAGAAAUUCAGGGUUAUCUGACUACAUAGAGAGUUUGAGGUCAGCUUGGGAUACAUAAGAUUGUCUCAAAAACAAACAAACAAACAAACAAAACCACAAAACCAUCAAGAGAAGAGAUAGAGUGGCUGGAGAGAUGGCUCAGUGGUAUUCCCCUCCCAGGGGGUCUGAAUUUGAUUCUAAGCACUUAUACCAAGCAAUUCACAAAUGCCUGUAACUCAAGCUCCAUGGGCGAUCCGGCUUCUGUGGUCUCUCUGUCUCUGUCUCUGUCUCUGUCUCUGUCUCUGUCUCUCUCUCUCUCUCUCUCUCUCUCUCUCUCUCACACACACACACACACACACACACAAAUAACAAGAGGCCCACAGGGUCCAGUCCCAUCCAGCCCCUGAGCUUCUGAUUGACAUUUCAGUGACCACAGCAUGGGUUGUCUGGAAUGACCAGAUAUUUGAGGUUAUCCAGAUAGUCACUAACAGAAGAGAUGUGGACUAACCAGCCAGGAAAAACAAAUGCAGAAAGCAGGCAUAUCCAUGUGAGGAAAACUCCAGCACGACCCCCAUUACUGUCCUCAGCUGAGUUACAGAUGUCCUGAAGGACCAAGAUGCUCUAGCAGAGAGUUCCCCAAAGGCCUGAGGACUAGGAAGAGUGGUGGCUAAGCAGGAUCCUCCACAGAAGGGCUGGAAACAAGGGGGAGGGGUGUGUCUGGACAAACAGCCGAGGUGGAAAUCGAGGGGGAAGAGAUUGGCUGGGUCUGCUGGGAAGUCUGGUGGGCAGGAUUUGAGGUUUCGGGAAGGGAAAGUGGAAAAGACAGAACAAGGGAAUUCAUAGGAGGAAUUCAAAAGAGCCAGCAGAGACAAGGCCAUAAGGGCCUGGCACAGAGAAUCAGGUGGACACAUGAACUUUGCAAGUGCAAGGGUGGAGUGUAGCAGUUGCCUCUCAGAGGGAGGCUGUGUGCUCAGUCCACCAGAGCACUUCCUGCUGCGGGAAAGUGUGAACUGCCAUUACUCUGGCCUUCUUCAUCACUGGCUCCCCAUCGUGGUCCAGGACAGGUGCCUGUCAACAGAUGUGAGAUAAAUGGUAGUAGCCAGACAGCAGCACCUGCAGCCUUGGGCAGGAAGCCAGCUCCCACCUUCCCUCGAGGAGAUGGCUGAGCCAUCCCACGUGACAGUUUCAAGUCAAGAUGCAGCCUCUUUUUCCACCUUGGGUUCAGGUGGUUGAGAUGACUCUGCACUUUCUAUGCCACAUCUCACAACCAGACACCAGACCUUUCCCUGCCCCCAUCAGAUGCCCGCAUACUCCAGACACCUGCACACCUGCCCUUUCCAGGAAAAAAAAAUCUCCUCACUGCAGCAUCCUGGAAGGGGACUCAGCCCCUCCCCCAAGUCCUUUGCACCUCCAGCUUAAUGAGCAGAAGCUGCUGGGGGCGCCUGGGUCACACCUUCUCACUUGACUGAAGCAUAGCCCAGAUCUGGCUGGCAGGGAGUUUGCUCACGAGGGGAACUUCCGCAAGCUGUGAACGCAUUACCUUCUGCAAGCGGCCUGUUCUGUAGGCGCCUGCACUGGUGUCCUGGUGAGACCCAGCCCUGGGAGUACUGAUGCCACCUUGUACCUGGUGACUGAGAGAAGAGAUCGUGACAGUCUCUGACCUGUUUUCUGUGUCCAGGCUGGUCCAGCCUACAUGGAACAGGGCUGACCCAAAUUUAUGGCUAGACACUGAGAGGUCAUGUACAUUCCCAGGGAGGAUAUGGAAGGUGCCCUAGCCUGUUUGUUGUUUCCUUGAUUGAUCCUGUAUCUAGAGAAACCAACUUCCACGGAGGGAAGACUCAGGAACAGCCUGUGGAGAGUCUGCCUGAAGAAAACAGAGGCUUCUGUUCACAGUCCCAUCAAGUGUGUACUGGCCAGCAAAUCCCACAGUACCCAUGGAGGCUGAAGACCAUGUACAACUUGUGGGAGCAGGUCACAGAAGCUCAAAUCCCCAAGAAGUGCCUGGCCAGACAAGCCUGGUUGAGUAUCCACCACCUGGCCACAGACAUUAGCCUUUGCCCCUCACCCCCUCUGCCCAGUCACGUCCCCACAUGUGCCCAUGCACCGUCAUGCUCAGACUGUGAUGUCUACACAAGAGGCCAAGAGGAGAGGAGACGGAGCCUGUGGGCAACUGAGCACCCUAGAGGUUGGCAUAACCAAACGGUUCAGUCAGAAGUUCCUGCAUCGGGGCACUGCCAGCCCUUUCCCCAUUUCCCCUGUCUGUCUGGCCUCCCUUUUAAAUAAACUAGUAGACAUUUCCUUGA
Molecule: long non-coding RNA, 2728 nt
Organism: Mus musculus (house mouse)
Lineage: Eukaryota; Metazoa; Chordata; Mammalia; Rodentia; Muridae
Product: predicted gene, 39271
Exons: 3
Source: RefSeq, marked validated